GUCGCCUCCUAAAAGGUAACGGAGGCGCUCAAAGGUUCCCUCAGAAUGGUUGGAAAUCAUUCAUAGAGUGUAAAGGCAUAAGGGAGCUUGACUGCGAGACCUACAAGUCGAGCAGGGUCGAAAGACGGACUUAGUGAUCCGGUGGUUCCGCAUGGAAGGGCCAUCGCUCAACGGAUAAAAGCUACCCCGGGGAUAACAGGCUUAUCUCCCCCAAGAGUUCACAUCGACGGGGAGGUUUGGCACCUCGAUGUCGGCUCAUCGCAUCCUGGGGCUGUAGUCGGUCCCAAGGGUUGGGCUGUUCGCCCAUUAAAGCGGUACGCGAGCUGGGUUCAGAACGUCGUGAGACAGUUCGGUCCCUAUCCGUCGUGGGCGUAG
This 375-nucleotide ribosomal RNA is filed under the name Staphylococcus aureus. RNAcentral describes it as "partial 23S ribosomal RNA". It matches the Rfam family "Bacterial large subunit ribosomal RNA", at positions 2282 to 2656 of the family's 2925-position model. The record is from RNAcentral. Lineage: Bacteria; Bacillati; Bacillota; Bacilli; Caryophanales; Staphylococcaceae.